Molecule: ribosomal RNA, 492 nt
Filed under: uncultured bacterium
Lineage: Bacteria
Description: partial 16S ribosomal RNA
Rfam family: Bacterial small subunit ribosomal RNA
Source: RNAcentral
AGUGAACGCUGGCGGUAGGCCUAACACAUGCAAGUCGAACGGCAGCACAGUAAGAGCUUGCUCUUACGGGUGGCGAGUGGCGGACGGGUGAGGAAUACAUCGGAAUCUACUUUUUCGUGGGGGAUAACGUAGGGAAACUUACGCUAAUACCGCAUACGACCUACGGGUGAAAGUAGGGGAUCUUCGGACCUUGCGCGAUUGAAUGAGCCGAUGUCGGAUUAGCUAGUUGGCGGGGUAAAGGCCCACCAAGGCGACGAUCCGUAGCUGGUCUGAGAGGAUGAUCAGCCACACUGGAACUGAGACACGGUCCAGACUCCUACGGGAGGCAGCCGUGGGGAAUAUUGGACAAUGGGCGCAAGCCUGAUCCAGCCAUACCGCGUGGGUGAAGAAGGCCUUCGGGUUGUAAAGCCCUUUUGUUGGGAAAGAAAAGCAGCAGGUUAAUACCCCGCUGUUCUGACGGUACCCAAAGAAUAAGCACCGGCUAACUUCGUG